GGCUGGUCUGAGUGCAGUGGUGUUUACAAUUAAUUGAUCACAGCCAGUUACAGAUUUCUUUGUUUCUUCUCCACUCCCACUACUUCACUUGACUCACCUUAC
Molecule: Y RNA, 102 nt
Filed under: Lynx canadensis (Canada lynx)
Lineage: Eukaryota; Metazoa; Chordata; Mammalia; Carnivora; Felidae
Description: Y RNA (ENSLCNG00005000275.1)
Rfam family: Y RNA
About the family: Y RNAs are components of the Ro ribonucleoprotein particle (Ro RNP), in association with Ro60 and La proteins. The Y RNAs and Ro60 and La proteins are well conserved, but the function of the Ro RNP is not known. In humans the RNA component can be one of four small RNAs -- hY1, hY3, hY4 and hY5.
Source: Rfam by way of RNAcentral